RNAcentral lists this ribosomal RNA (384 nucleotides) under uncultured Bacteroidota bacterium. RNAcentral describes it as "bacterial SSU rRNA". It matches the Rfam family "Bacterial small subunit ribosomal RNA", at positions 993 to 1382 of the family's 1533-position model. Lineage: Bacteria; Pseudomonadati; Bacteroidota. The record is from RNAcentral.
ACCGUACUGGGAAACUGGUAUUUCUUCGGACAUUUUGCAAGGUGCUGCAUGGUGUCGUCAGCUCGUGCCGUGAGGUGUCGGGUUAAGUCCCAUAACGAGCGCAACCCCUAUUGUUAGUUGCCAUCAGGUCAUGCUGGGGACUCUAACAAAACUGCCCGCGUAAGCGUGGAGGAAGUGGGGAUGACGUCAAAUCAGCACGGCCCUUACGUCCAGGGCUACACACGUGCUACAAUGGCCGGUACAGGGGGCAGCCACUUGGUGACAAGGAGCAAAUCUCAAAAGCCGGUCUCAGUUCGGAUCGGAGUCUGCAACUCGACUCCGUGAAGUUGGAUUCGCUAGUAAUCGUAGAUCAGCAAUGCUACGGUGAAUACGUUCCCGGGCCUU